RNAcentral lists this ribosomal RNA (253 nucleotides) under uncultured bacterium. Its description in RNAcentral is "partial 16S ribosomal RNA". It matches the Rfam family "Bacterial small subunit ribosomal RNA", at positions 524 to 776 of the family's 1533-position model. The record is from RNAcentral.
UACGUAGGGUGCAAGCGUUGUCCGGAGUUAUUGGGCGUAAAGAGCUUGUAGGCGGUUUGUCGCGUCUGCUGUGAAAUUUCGGGGCUCAACCCCGAACUUGCAGUGGGUACGGGCAGACUAGAGUGUGGUAGGGGAGACUGGAAUUCCUGGUGCAGCGGUGAAAUGCGCAGAUAUCAGGAGGAACACCGAUGGCGAAGGCAGGUCUCUGGGCCACUACUGACGCUGAGAAGCGAAAGCAUGGGGAGCGAACAGG